This 519-nucleotide ribosomal RNA is filed under the name uncultured bacterium. RNAcentral describes it as "bacterial SSU rRNA". It matches the Rfam family "Bacterial small subunit ribosomal RNA", at positions 8 to 526 of the family's 1533-position model. The record is from RNAcentral.
AGAGUUUGAUCCUGGCUCAGGAUUUGAACGCUGGCGGCAUGCCUAACACAUGCAAGUCGAACGAAAGUAAGAGGGCAACCUUUUACUUUAGUGGCGGACGGGUGCGGAAUGCGUAGGAAUCUACCCUAAAGUGGGGGAUAACUCGGGGAAACUCGAGCUAAUACCGCAUAUGCUCUACGGAGUAAAGGGGGCGCAAGCUCUCGCUAUAGGAUGAGCCUACGUCGGAUUAGCUAGUUGGUGGGGUAACGGCCCACCAAGGCAAUGAUCCGUAGCUGGUCUGAGAGGAUGGCCAGCCACACUGGGACUGAGAUACGGCCCAGACUCCUACGGGAGGCAGCAGUGGGGAAUAUUGGACAAUGGGCGAAAGCCUGAUCCAGCAAUGCCGCGUGUGUGAAGAAGGCCUUCGGGUUGUAAAGCACUUUCAGUGGGGAAGAAAAGUUCAGGGCUAAUACCUCUGAGCAUUGACGUUACCUACAGAAGAAGCACCGGCUAACUCUGUGCCAGCAGCCGCGGUAAUAC